RNAcentral lists this transfer RNA (72 nucleotides) under Ictidomys tridecemlineatus (thirteen-lined ground squirrel). Its description in RNAcentral is "Spermophilus tridecemlineatus (thirteen-lined ground squirrel) tRNA". It matches the Rfam family "tRNA". Rfam says of the family: Transfer RNA (tRNA) molecules are approximately 80 nucleotides in length. Their secondary structure includes four short double-helical elements and three loops (D, anti-codon, and T loops). Further hydrogen bonds mediate the characteristic L-shaped molecular structure. tRNAs have two regions of fundamental functional importance: the anti-codon, which is responsible for specific mRNA codon recognition, and the 3' end, to which the tRNAs corresponding amino acid is attached (by aminoacyl-tRNA synthetases). tRNAs cope with the degeneracy of the genetic code in two manners: having more than one tRNA (with a specific anti-codon) for a particular amino acid; and 'wobble' base-pairing, i.e. permitting non-standard base-pairing at the 3rd anti-codon position. Lineage: Eukaryota; Metazoa; Chordata; Mammalia; Rodentia; Sciuridae. The record is from Rfam by way of RNAcentral.
GGGGAUAUAGCUCAGUGGCAGAGCACUUGCCUAGCACACAUGAGGCCCUUGGUUCAAUCCCUAGUACCACCA